GAUGAAGAACGUAGCGAAAUGCGAUACGUAGUGUGAAUUGCAGAAUCCAGUGAAUCAUCGAAUCUUUGAACGCACAUUGCGCCCGCCAGUAUUCUGGCGGGCAUGCCUGUCCGAGCGUCAUUUCAACCCUCGAGCCCCCCCGGGGGGUCGGCGUUGGGGAUCGGCUGUCAAGUCAAGACUGCCGGCCCCGAAAUGCAGUGGCGGUCUCGCCGCAGCCUCUCCUGCGCAGUAGCUUGCACGCUCGCAACGGGAGCGCGGCGCGUCCACGGCCGUGAAGCAACCCAAACUUCUGAAAGGUUGACCUCGGAUCAGGUAGGAAUACCCGCUGAACUUAAGCAUAUCAAUAAGCGGAGGA
RNAcentral lists this unclassified non-coding RNA (355 nucleotides) under soil metagenome. RNAcentral describes it as "partial contains 5.8S ribosomal RNA, internal transcribed spacer 2, and large subunit ribosomal RNA". The stretch from base 1 to 120 matches the Rfam family "5.8S ribosomal RNA", at positions 35 to 154 of the family's 154-position model. The record is from RNAcentral.